This 253-nucleotide ribosomal RNA is filed under the name uncultured bacterium. RNAcentral describes it as "partial 16S ribosomal RNA". It matches the Rfam family "Bacterial small subunit ribosomal RNA", at positions 524 to 776 of the family's 1533-position model. The record is from RNAcentral.
GACGUAGGGACCAAGCGUUGUUCGGAUUUACUGGGCGUAAAGGGCGCGUAGGCGGCAAUUCAAGUCAUCUGUGAAAUCUCCGGGCUUAACUCGGAACGGUCAGAUGAUACUGCUUUGCUAGAGUGCAGAAGGGGCAAUCGGAAUUCUUGGUGUAGCGGUGAAAUGCGUAGAUAUCAAGAGGAACACCUGAGGUGAAGACGGGUUGCUGGGCUGACACUGACGCUGAGGCGCGAAAGCCAGGGGAGCAAACGGG